CCGCGCCCAGGGCAGGGCUGAGCCCCGCUCGCUGCUGCCGCCCGCCCGGGGAGCGCCGGGGCAGCGAGAGGCGCUCGGGGACAGCUCCGUCACCGCGGCAGCGCUCCGCCAAAGAGGAAGUUGUCUCGAAAUAACUCCGCGCUUCCCCUCCGGCCCCGCACGCUUUGUAGCGGCUGCCGAGCCCGGGAGCCGCCGGGGCUCCGCCGCCACCCCCGCGCCCCUGCCCGAUGUCCCCUGCGGGACCCCGCUGUGCCCCCCGCGAUGGAUUGAGGGGGGGCUGCGGCUCCCUGGGCCCCCCGAGUCCGGCCUGAACAAGGGCCAUGCCCCAGCGCCGUGAGCAGCCCCGCGCUGGUGCCCCAGGAGCCGCAGCCCGGCCCGGCCAUGGACAGCUCAGGUGGGUGAUGCUGAGCCCCGGGCGGGGAGGGGGAGCCGGGGAAUCCCCCUCAGCCACUCCUUAC
RNAcentral lists this long non-coding RNA (458 nucleotides) under Junco hyemalis (dark-eyed junco). RNAcentral's name for it is "lncRNA (ENSJHYG00000001453.1)". Lineage: Eukaryota; Metazoa; Chordata; Aves; Passeriformes; Passerellidae. The record is from RNAcentral.